Molecule: ribosomal RNA, 410 nt
Filed under: Rhaphidosoma decorsei
Lineage: Eukaryota; Metazoa; Arthropoda; Insecta; Hemiptera; Reduviidae
Description: eukaryotic LSU rRNA
Rfam family: Eukaryotic large subunit ribosomal RNA
Source: RNAcentral
CUUGAAACACGGACCAAGGAGUUUAUCGUGUACGCAAGUCAUUGGGUGAAUAAAACCCAAAGGCGAAAUAAAAGUAAAGAGUUGAGUUUAUAAAAGAAAGUUUUCUUUUUUUUAUAUCUCUCUUGAGGGAAGAUGAAAAUUUAAUUAAUAAUAUAUUAUAUUGUUAAUAUAAAUUUUUCGCAUUCCCAGGGCGCUUGUUUCACGCUUUGCGUGUCAAUGCGCACCUAGAGCGUACACGCUGAUACCCGAAAGAUGGUGAACUAUGCCUGGCCAGGACGAAGCCAGGGGAAACCCUGGUGGAGGUCCGCAGCGAUUCUGACGUGCAAAUCGAUCGUCGGAGCUGGGUAUAGGGGCGAAAGACCAAUCGAACCAUCUAGUAGCUGGUUCCCUCUGAAGUUUCCCUCAGGAUA